AAAAUCCGUUGGCUUUAU
This 18-nucleotide transfer RNA is filed under the name Neodicranella hamulosa. Its description in RNAcentral is "partial tRNA-Leu". Lineage: Eukaryota; Viridiplantae; Streptophyta; Bryopsida; Dicranales; Aongstroemiaceae. The record is from RNAcentral.